UAGGACUCUCGGCAAUGGAUAUCUUGGCUCUUGCAUCGAUGAAGAACGCAACGAAAUGCGAUACGUGGUGCGAAUUGCAGAAUCCCGUGAACCAUCGAGUUUUUGAACGCAAGUUGCGCCUGAGGCCAACUGGCCAAGGGCACGUCCGCCU
Molecule: ribosomal RNA, 151 nt
Filed under: Calochilus grandiflorus
Lineage: Eukaryota; Viridiplantae; Streptophyta; Magnoliopsida; Asparagales; Orchidaceae
Description: 5.8S ribosomal RNA
Rfam family: 5.8S ribosomal RNA
About the family: 5.8S ribosomal RNA (5.8S rRNA) is a component of the large subunit of the eukaryotic ribosome. It is transcribed by RNA polymerase I as part of the 45S precursor that also contains 18S and 28S rRNA.
Source: RNAcentral